This 254-nucleotide ribosomal RNA is filed under the name uncultured bacterium. Its description in RNAcentral is "partial 16S ribosomal RNA". It matches the Rfam family "Bacterial small subunit ribosomal RNA", at positions 524 to 776 of the family's 1533-position model. The record is from RNAcentral.
UACGGAGGGUGCAAGCGUUAUCCGGAUUCACUGGGUUUAAAGGGUGCGUAGGCGGGUAGGUAAGUCAGUGGUGAAAUCUUCGAGCUUAACUCGGAAACUGCCUUUGAUACUAUCUAUCUUGAAUAUUGUGGAGGUAAGCGGAAUAUGUCAUGUAGCGGUGAAAUGCUUAGAUAUGACAUAGAACACCUAUUGCGAAGGCAGCUUACUACGCAUAUAUUGACGCUGAGGCACGAAAAGCGUGGGGAUCAAACAGG